RNAcentral lists this transfer RNA (65 nucleotides) under Polyrhachis dives. RNAcentral's name for it is "tRNA-Cys". Lineage: Eukaryota; Metazoa; Arthropoda; Insecta; Hymenoptera; Formicidae. The record is from RNAcentral.
UAUAUUAUAGUUUAUAUAAAAAUAUUAAAUUGCAAAUUUAAAGAAAUUUAAUAAAAUUAGUAUAU